This 1338-nucleotide long non-coding RNA is filed under the name Helianthus annuus (common sunflower). RNAcentral describes it as "hypothetical non coding rna". Lineage: Eukaryota; Viridiplantae; Streptophyta; Magnoliopsida; Asterales; Asteraceae. The record is from RNAcentral.
AUGUUCUCAAAAACCCCGUAUUUCGGAAUCUACAAGAUAGUGGAUGACAGAACUGUUGAGUCAUGGAGUCCGAUGAAGCUUUGACAGCUUAGGUGCUUCUCAGCUUUCGGAUCUUCCAAAGUUGACCUUAAGAAAGCUGACUGUCUGGCCCUCUCUAUGCAUCAGCUGACGAUCAGACUAAUGAGCAAAAUUAAAAUUACGGGCUUGGCCCGUAUGGACAUUAGUCAUUAACCCUAAGCUGCCUAUUAUAUAAACAACUCUAUGAAUUUUAGUUAUAGAAGGGUAUCAUUUGCAUUGCAAUGCAGCUUGUAAAACAUACAGCUAAUCACAAUGUUUUCUUUCUGAGAAUAUAUUCUUCUCAACUUCAAAUCACAAAAUAGUAACAGAUGACCACAAAAGUCAGACCAUAACCUUUAUGCACUCUUUAUUGGGAUUUGACUCCCUAUACCAUUACAAAAAAAAAAAAACAACAGUCAGGCCAUUAGUUUCUAAGACCCACUGUUAUGGGGCGCGAAAAGUGGGGUUUUUUGGGCCAUAACGCCCCAUAGCGCCCCGCACACCGCGACGGGCGGCGUUAUGGGGCAAAAAAAGGGGGGAGGCGCCAUGCAUUUCGCGGCGUUAUGGAGCUUCUUUUCAUAAUUUUGACCAAUCACAAAAAAAGCAAGGUUUUUAUAAUUAAUUAAUAAAAUUGAAAAUUAAUAAUUAGGUAAUGAUGGGUAGGGGCUUUAUGACUACGGACUCUAGUGAUAUAAUACCCCAUAAAGCCCCCGUGUGACGUGGCACGACACGUGUCGCAUAACGCCCCACAAGGGGCUUUAUGACUACGGAUGGCCUAAAAGGGAUGAGUAAUUUCGUACUGAAUAUUAAUACAAAUACCAACCGAACAUAUAUGGUACGGUAUUCGGUAUUUAUCUCAACUUCAGUAUCGAUAUUAUGCAGUACGGUACCCAUUCGGGACUUUUAAUGGUACCGUACCAUAUUAGGUACAAUAUUUGGUUUUAGUUUUGCUAAAUUUUGGCUGUACCGAUUUCUGAUGCCAAACCUGCUACAUAAUAAAGCAUAACUGAUUUCAAUUUCAUCAUCAAACUUGCAACAACAGUUUAUUCGUCCUACUUGACUAAAACAAAACUGCUUUGACAUUAUUCACCAAACCUAAAACUCAUAUUUCAUCAUCACUUCAUUUUUCAUACUUUAUUACUAACUAAUAAACUCAUCAACAUAUCAAUGUACGUAUAAAUUGCAAAUGAUCAAACAAGCUAAACUAACCUGAGGAAUCUCAGCAACGUAUUGCCUUGGAUUCGUUUGCCUCACAGAUAAUUGACAAUCCUUACAAAAAAA